AGCCCUGAGGUGUUUUACAUAUAAGAUUGCAAAUCUUGAGAAGGGGGUUAGUCACCCCCCGGGGCUU
This 67-nucleotide transfer RNA is filed under the name Lophius budegassa (black-bellied angler). Its description in RNAcentral is "tRNA-Cys". It matches the Rfam family "tRNA". From Rfam's summary of the family: Transfer RNA (tRNA) molecules are approximately 80 nucleotides in length. Their secondary structure includes four short double-helical elements and three loops (D, anti-codon, and T loops). Further hydrogen bonds mediate the characteristic L-shaped molecular structure. tRNAs have two regions of fundamental functional importance: the anti-codon, which is responsible for specific mRNA codon recognition, and the 3' end, to which the tRNAs corresponding amino acid is attached (by aminoacyl-tRNA synthetases). tRNAs cope with the degeneracy of the genetic code in two manners: having more than one tRNA (with a specific anti-codon) for a particular amino acid; and 'wobble' base-pairing, i.e. permitting non-standard base-pairing at the 3rd anti-codon position. The record is from RNAcentral. Lineage: Eukaryota; Metazoa; Chordata; Actinopteri; Lophiiformes; Lophiidae.